UUUGUUCCUUCCAUAGAGGUCAAGCUUUCAGUCAACUGACAUCUUGUGGAACCACGCCUCUGGUGAUGGACAUACGCUGAAAUAUCACUGACUUCACUCAAGUUGCCAUGGAGAUGAUUGAAGGAAGAUUGAUCACUGGGGAGUCUGGAGAUAAGGUCAUGAGCAUCACUAGCAAUGCUGCUAUGUAUUGCCCAACCCUUGUGGCUCCGAAAACAUGCUGCUGAGCCUUGUUCAAAUAAGUGACUUAAGAGGUCAGUGAAGGCUCAACCAUGUUGGUGUAGAGUCACAUAUAGGCCAGGCCAUCUAAGAACAAGAGGUAUCCUUCCCUAAAGGACGAACUUGCUUUUUAGAACAACUUCACAAUCAAUUUUUAUUUCCAGAUUGAGUUCAAAUUCUCAAACUACUAUGGUGGGAUUCUGACUCAUGUUCUCUCAAUUAUUAGUCCAGGUUGUUAACUAGUCUAGUAAUUAAACCGCUGAGCUACUGGUCCUAA
Long non-coding RNA from Carcharodon carcharias (great white shark), 493 nucleotides. RefSeq lists it as uncharacterized. The transcript is spliced from 2 exons. The record is from RefSeq and is a predicted model, not a curated record. Lineage: Eukaryota; Metazoa; Chordata; Chondrichthyes; Lamniformes; Lamnidae.